Molecule: long non-coding RNA, 972 nt
Filed under: Junco hyemalis (dark-eyed junco)
Lineage: Eukaryota; Metazoa; Chordata; Aves; Passeriformes; Passerellidae
Description: lncRNA (ENSJHYG00000013678.1)
Source: RNAcentral
AGCCAGCACAGCUUCAGUUACAAUUAUGCAGCAUAAUUCCCUGCGAUAGAAGGGUAGUGACAAUAAUAAAUUCAAAUGCAUUCAGAUAAAUAAUUUUAAAGCAAAUGCACAUUGCUGGAGGAUAUUCACCAAGCAGACAAAAAAAAAAAAAAAAAAAAAAAAAAAAAAAAAAAAAAAAAAAAAAAAAAAAAAAAAAAAAAAAGCCCAGUAGCCUAAUAUGUUAUUUCUUGGGAAUAGUUCUUUCUGCCCUCAGGCUGAUAUAUUCUUUGGGAACACUUUAAUGCAGUUCCUAUAAUUAGUGAGUACUUCACAAUCACCUUCCAGAGAAUUAUAUCUUUCUGUAACACUCUCUGCGUGUGCUUUGAAGGCAUCGAAGCAUACAAGGUUCUUGUCUCAGCAGAAGAAAGGCUGCAGGGCAGAACCGGGGCAGGGGGCUUUACAGCGUUGCCAGGAGGCACCAGCUCGGUUUCCCUGCAGCAGGCACAUCUCUCCUCUUUGAGAAACACUGAGCAAGUUAGCAAACCCAGCAGGUGGAUCAGGCUCUGCACAGACACUUUGCAAAGCUGUAUUCCUGUCUGGGAAAUCACUGACCUCACCAGACAUCCUCAGUGUUCCAGCAAGAGGUAAGGACUGGGACCAAGUAUGAGGAAAGGUGAGUAUAAGUAGCAGUAUGGCACCUUCACAACUCACUAUAAUUUAAAUCAAUUUAAUAUUUCCCUCCAAACUGAUGAAAUAUUACCUUUGGCACAACAUAUCCACACUUCCCUCUGUCUUUGCAGCCAGGCUGCAUUCCCAGUGAUGUUGAAUUGACUGCAUGUUUGACAGCCAUGUCACCUUCUCUGACAUCUAAGGAGGCAUUUCCUUUGCUCCCUGACCAGCAACUUGACAAGCAGUGCAUCAAGAAGAUGAUGGCAGUAUUUUUAUGAGUAAAGGACAAAGAAAUGCAAUAAAAGCUGUCUGUUUUGGUGAUCA